Molecule: ribosomal RNA, 253 nt
Filed under: uncultured bacterium
Lineage: Bacteria
Description: partial 16S ribosomal RNA
Rfam family: Bacterial small subunit ribosomal RNA
Source: RNAcentral
UACGUAGGGUGCGAGCGUUAAUCGGAAUUACUGGGCGUAAAGCGUGCGCAGGCGGCGCCGCAAGUCAGGCGUGAAAUCCCCGAGCUUAACUUGGGAAUGGCGCUUGAAACUACGGUGCUGGAGUGUGGCAGAGGGAGGUGGAAUUCCACGUGUAGCGGUGAAAUGCGUAGAGAUGUGGAGGAACACCGAUGGCGAAGGCAGCCUCCUGGGCCAACACUGACGCUCAUGCACGAAAGCGUGGGGAGCGAACAGG